AACGAACGCUGGCGGCAUGCCUAACACAUGCAAGUCGAACGAGACCUUCGGGUCUAGUGGCGCACGGGUGCGUAACGCGUGGGAACCUGCCUUUAGGUUCGGAAUAAACUCAGAGAAAUUUGAGCUAAUACCGGAUGAUGUCUUCGGACCAAAGAUUUAUCGCCUUUAGAUGGGCCCGCGUAAGAUUAGCUAGUUGGUGGGGUAAAGGCCUACCAAGGCGACGAUCUUUAGCUGGUCUGAGAGGAUGAUCAGCCACACUGGGACUGAGACACGGCCCAGACUCCUACGGGAGGCAGCAGUGGGGAAUAUUGGACAAUGGGCGAAAGCCUGAUCCAGCAAUGCCGCGUGAGUGAUGAAGGCCUUAGGGUUGUAAAGCUCUUUUACCCGAGAUGAUAAUGACAGUAUCGGGAGAAUAAGCUCCCGGCGUAACUACCGUGCCAGCAGCCGCGGUAAAGUGACUACUG
Molecule: ribosomal RNA, 464 nt
Filed under: uncultured bacterium
Lineage: Bacteria
Description: bacterial SSU rRNA
Rfam family: Bacterial small subunit ribosomal RNA
Source: RNAcentral